UCCUCACCGUGCCCUAUUCCUCUCUAAUCGUCGAAUCCUUCCUCACCUUAUCUCGUCGCCGCCCCGAUUCUUCCUCCUCUCUCACGCCGUGUUUACUCUCUGCUCUUCUUCUUCUCCUCAUCUUCUCCAACCGGUGCCCCUUUCUCUUCUUCCGCGUCAUCUUCCCUCCUCUGCCGUCGUCUCCUCGUCGCGGAGGUCCUCACCACGCCGAUUGUCACGAGAGCACCGCUGACAGCAGUCUUUCUCUCCGCGAGCCUCACCAACACCAAGCUCUCUGGGCUAUCAGGCGGCCCGAUCCUCUUCUACUUUUCCCCUUGCGUCUCUGCCCUAGAUGCAGCCGACGUCAUCGCAUCCGACCACAGUACCUGCAAUUUUGGGCGGCUAGCGUCGCCGCCAUCUCUUUCACCGGCUGCCACUUCUUCCUCUUCCAUCUGCCACCGUCGGAGAGCUGAGUACACAGGAGAGUAGGGUUGUUCUUCCGCGUAUCAGCAGUUGCGAGGGGUUACCACGCGUUGCCCCCUUCAAUUGUGCCGUGGCCAUCCGGUCAGCCACAAGGAGAUCCAUUGCUGCGGUGACCCCAUUUGUGCUUGGAUUUGUGCCACUGUCGUGUAUCUGUGAAUUCUGAGGCGGUGAGGGUUGUUGGACAGAUUUACCAUCGUCGAAAGAGCCACAAACUGCUGAUAAGGAUUUUCUCAACAAAAUUGG
This is a long non-coding RNA of Zingiber officinale, 705 nucleotides long. RefSeq lists it as uncharacterized. The record is from RefSeq and is a predicted model, not a curated record. NCBI's taxonomy places the organism in Eukaryota, Viridiplantae, Streptophyta, Magnoliopsida, Zingiberales, Zingiberaceae. The transcript is spliced from 3 exons.